GAAACUUCCUUAUCAAGAUGGAGCAACACUGAGUCACAAUGGUGCCAUCUACUGGGAAACUAUUGAACUAAGACAUAGUACCAUCAUCAUAUGCAUUUAGUGAAAACAGAAAGCAAUAUACUCUGAUACUCUUUACUUAAAGAAAUGCCAUUAAUUAGUGAUUUUUCUUAUUGAGCGGGGAGUUAAUGAGUAUAGUGUCUUGAGAAGCCAAGUUCCUACCACAGUUUUCUCAUAGUUUUUUUUUUUCUCUCUUUUAAUUUGAUGUUAUUCUCUCUCUGUGUGUGUUAUCUUCCUUUUCACUUGAGCCAGAAAUAAGAGAAAGUAUUUCUUAAAUUACUUUUAAUAAAGCAAAGUUUUAAAUUAAUAGUUAAUCAUUGAAAUUAAUAAUUAAACACAAAUUUCAGUAUAUGGCAAGUUAGAGGAACUGUUUGUAAGGCUAAUAUGCAGUUAUUUCUCGUAGGAAUUUCACUGGCAUUUAAAAAGCCCUUGAUGUCUUAGUUUGUGCUAUACAUAAUAUCAGGUUUGAGUCAGUGAAAUCACCCCCAAGAUUUCACUACUGUUUGUCAAAGGAUUAGCUGACAUUUUAUAUCAAAAGGAAACUAUUCAAUAUAUCCCAUGGUAAACUUAAUUGUUACCCUCAAUAUAUAACAAGACUUUUGGAAUGAGAAUGAGAGCAAUGUGCUGUAUUAUCAGAUUUUUUGGAAAAUAUAACAGAUAUUUAUAUGGGGCUUUCCUGAUAUAUAAACAGAUAUUUAUAUAUAUAUAUGGGUCCUCCUUGGUAAAAAAUAUGCCUGUAAUGUGGGAGACCCGGGUUUGAACUCUAGGUCAGUAAGAUUCCCUGAAAAAAGGAAAGGCAAUCCACUCCAGUAUUCCUGCCAGAAGAAUUCCAUGGAGAGAGGAGUCGGGUGGGCCAAAGUCCAUGGGGUUGCAGAGUCAAACAGGACUGAGCUACAAACACUUUCACUUUUCUUUCAUAAC
Molecule: long non-coding RNA, 978 nt
Filed under: Capra hircus (goat)
Lineage: Eukaryota; Metazoa; Chordata; Mammalia; Artiodactyla; Bovidae
Description: lncRNA (ENSCHIG00010013571.1)
Source: RNAcentral